UUUGUUCGUUUGACGCCAUUGAAGAAGUAGGAGACUAAGGCCGGUAUUUAGCGGAGAAAUAUUCAGAUUUUUGAAAUCACGAAGCCUUAAAUUAAGAUAAACAACUAUAUAAAACGUUUAUUACAUGAUAGCAGAAUAUUUUACAGCUACAGUUUUGAGGGAAAAUAGAUUUAGAAGACUGAAAGCAGGGAGUUACAAGAAGAACGUUUUUUUAUCGUACAAGACAAGAAGCUAUUGAGAAAAGGUCAACUGUGUGUUUGAGACCACUUUUUCUUUGAAAACAAAGGGCAAAUGUACCACAGUGUCCAUAAGAGUAUGUGAAGAGGCUAAAGUCUGUAUUUGCUGAUACCCUGGAGUUUGCAUGCCAGCAGCUAGGUAAGGCUACUGUAUGGCUGAAGAGGGUUAUGACAAAAUGUUAUUUUACUGUAUGGCUACCUUCCCUACCUGUUGGCAUCAAACUGUAGAGCAUCAGACAAUCAACUUAGAUCUAUCUAAAACACUUAGCAUUCAAGGAUGGAACAGAAAACUGCUGGAUUAAGCAAAUUUUACAUAACUUUUUUGUCUGAACUUUAUUGUGAUUUACUAAUCUAGUUACAUUGAUACUUAACUUACUAAUUGCUCUCUGUUAUUUUUUUUUCUUCUGUUACAUUAGUUAAAUGUAGUUUAUCAUAUACUGAAAUAUAGGUCAGUGACCUCAGUUUAUCAUUUUGAUUAUGAAACUGAGAAAUCUCUUAAACAUCAGUUCUUAAUAUUUGGGUUUUUUUUUCUGACAACCUCAUUAAUGGAAUUUAGCAUUUGUUAGUUGACAGAGGCAAAUUGAUUUGAGCUUUUAUUUUUUUGUGAUUCCAAAAUACAAACAUUUUCAUCAUAAAUUGCUGGGGAACCAUGUGUGUUCACAAUUUGGGUUUCUUUCUUCUUCAUUGGCAAAACAAAAGUCACAGAGGAUUUGUGUCUGAUUUGCUAAUGGUUAAAAGAAGUUAGCCUUUUCUUUUUUUAUAAUUUAUCCAAUUUGACAUUUCUGCAGAAAAACAACAGGCUGUCUUCUCAUGAUGUUAAUUUUACAGCUAAUCAUAAUGAAUAUCCUCUGACUUUACAUAUUGAAAUACAGUACAGUACAUCAUUUAUAUUUUUUAUUAAUGAAUGGGCACCUUCAUAGAAGCAGCUUAACUUCCAGUUGUAUAUAACCACAUCAUAAAAAGCUUUUGGACAAAAAUUCGUUAGUAUUAACAUAAAAUAUUUCAUCUUUACAGGAGUUACCUUCUGAUUAGGAUUGAUAGUAUUUUAAUGAAAUGUGUAUUAUGGAAGUUUAUUUGGCUCCAUCAAUUACAGAUUGUUCAAAAGACAUCUCCAAUUUUGACUAAAUAUGAGAUGCUAGAAGUUAACUCAGAGGUGUUGCAGUUAUUAUUCAUACAUCUUAUCGUAGAUAUGUGAUUAUUUGGUUCAAACCAUGCAGUGGUAUCAGUAGCAUGCUGUUAAUUUUAACUAGAGAAGAAUGAGAAUUGUCAUCUCAGUUUUCUCAAUUUCAAGCUUAAUUUAUUACAGCAUAUGCCAAGCCACUUAUUGAAAGUAUGUCACUGCUACAGUCCGCUGUUGAAAUAUAUAUAUAUAUAUCACUAGACUGUAGCAGUGGAUCUAAAACAUUAUUGAACUGCUACUUUUUCAACUAGUGCUUUAUAACAGCAUUUGAUCAUGCUGUUUUAUUUUUCUUCUCCAUAAUGAAGAAUUAUUUAUGCUACAUUUAAUGUAGUAUAUGUAAAUGAACAAUAUCCUGGAACUUUGUAGGGAACUACUUAACAUUGUGAAUUUUAACUGCUUUUAAGAACUAAUAACAGAAACUUAAGAUCACCCAAUCAUUUACUAUGGAUUUUAUCUAGUAAAACACGGAAAUAAAGAAACAUUAAUGUUAUGUAAUCUAAUCAAAAUUAAUUUA
RNAcentral lists this unclassified non-coding RNA (1930 nucleotides) under Limulus polyphemus (Atlantic horseshoe crab). RNAcentral's name for it is "rNA-binding protein 12-like, transcript variant X1". Lineage: Eukaryota; Metazoa; Arthropoda; Merostomata; Xiphosura; Limulidae. The record is from RNAcentral.